AAUAUACCCUCAAUAUUUCUGGUGAAUUCUAAUAGAAAUAUUUGAUAAUUAUUUACUUGUACUGAUCUGUUUUAGAAACUAAAAUUAUUAAGUAUUUCCUACCAAUUUUCCUAAAUAAAGUUCCAGCUUAAUAAAUGACGGUUUAAAUAAAUUGAGUAAAUUUCGCGGCUAAAGUGAUCACGUGUGCAGCUCCGCAGGAAAAAAAAAUCUGCUUUCCUCAGCAGAGACGUCGACUAGCCAUACUCCUCACAACUCCUGUUUCGUAGCUUAAUCGAAGUCACCUGAAGGACGGCUUUCCUGAGUUUCCUCAGCAACGGCAAGACCCGCACUCCUCUCAUAUCGUGAAGUUUAACGAGUUUCGCGGCUCAAGCAAGAGGCACCUGUCACUGAAGGACUGCUUUUCUCAGCAACGACGUGAACAGCAUUACUCGAAUUUCCUGGUUCAGCUGAUCUACCCGUCUUCGUACACGCAGAGUUGGCAGAGGAGGUCAUAAAAAUCUACAUCCUUCGGGACAAUGAUGGGGCAGUCAGCGAUGUAGGAGUUGUGAUUGAGGGCAUCACUGUCCUCCGCAGUCUUGGGAAUCUCAGCAGAGCCUGCUGCUAUCUUUUGGGAGUCACGAUGCAUUGGAUUUGAGAUAUCCCAAGACCCACAAAUACAGGUCCUUCUCAAAAAAUUUGCUUAUUGUGAUAAAGUUCAUUAUUUUCCAUAAUGUAAUGAUAAAAAUU
This is a long non-coding RNA of Carassius gibelio (silver crucian carp), 726 nucleotides long. RefSeq lists it as uncharacterized. The transcript has 4 exons. Lineage: Eukaryota; Metazoa; Chordata; Actinopteri; Cypriniformes; Cyprinidae. The record is from RefSeq and is a predicted model, not a curated record.